AGUUUUAUAAAGAUAAACACUAUGAAACAAAAAACACACAAAGGAGUCGAUAUACUGAUAACAAUCCAAUUUACAUAAACAAUAUGCCAAACUUUUAUGUAGACAACUAUUUUAAACUGCAUGAGAAAAUAAACAGCUUACAUAUGACACUUGCAGAAACUGGAAAAUAACUUCCACUCGUUAGGAUAGUAGUUGGGUAGUGAGUCCCAGUUACAAUCACACAUAAAUCACUCUUACAAUCACUCUUAUAGAAAUAUGAUCUGGUUGGCUGGAUACACCACCAGCUAUAUAGUAAAGAGAGAGAAAGUUACAAAGAGAGAGUAACAGUAAAGUUGUAGAGACAAAGAGUAACAAUAGAGUUGCAGAGACAGAGAGAGAGAGUAACAAUAAAGUUGCAGAGACAGUAGACUUGCAGAAACAAAGAGUAACAAUAGUGUUGCAGAGACAGUAGAGAUAGGGUUGCAGAGAUUGCAGAGAGAGGUAAGGUUGCAGAGAUUGCAAAGAGAGAUAAGGUUGCAAAGAUUGCAGAGAGAGGUAAGGUUGCAGAGAUUGCAGAGAGAGAGAUAAGGUUGCAGAGAUUACAACCGAGGAGAAAAACUUUAGAUCACAAAGAGAAGAGAGGAGACUAAGGGGGAAAAAC
RNAcentral lists this long non-coding RNA (640 nucleotides) under Amborella trichopoda. Its description in RNAcentral is "long non-coding RNA (ATRI_LNC002393)". Lineage: Eukaryota; Viridiplantae; Streptophyta; Magnoliopsida; Amborellales; Amborellaceae. The record is from RNAcentral.